UAUUACAUUUUUGAAUACAUAUUACUGCUAACAUCAACAUAUAUCCAAGGAACGUUCCGCGAUAAUCCGUUUCUUCAGCGACAGAGAGGUGGAAAAAUCACGAAAUUCGCUGAAAAAUCCAAACUUUUUACGUUAAAUUUCGUGGCGACGCAACAAUAAAACUCUGGCAAUUUGUUGCCAGCGGUCGAAAUUUCAGUGAGCGCGAUUAAGUGAUUUAUUUCAAACGUUUUUCUGAGUUUUGCAUCAUUUGCAGCCAUUUUAUUGUCGUUUCUAUUUUCUUAUCAGAAUGGAUAAUUUCAAAGAGUUAAGAAAGUGGCACAUUUCGAGAGAUGAUAAGCGCCUAGUCCUCCUCCACCUCUCCUCUUCCACUUUUCCAUUUCCACAAAGUCUACAGAACAACGACGGUGUGAUGUUUAUCGUCGCAAAGUGACGACGAAAACAUAAGUUGCUGUAGAAUUUUAGAGGGUGUAUUUUUGGAAAUACUGAAAUAUUUUUGGCCCGAGGUUUGUUACAAAGAAUUUAAGGGUUGUGGCAGUUAAAAAACACAUACAGGAAAGCGAUUCAGAGUUUAGAUAGCAGCAGACUUGUUUACAGUUCGUAAAACACACUUCUGAAGUUGACGAUUUUUUCCUGAAAAGUUCCUAAAGACGCUCACGAUAAAGAAAUUGAUAAUAACUUAUAAGGAUACAACAUGUCUUUCAACGGAAGAAUAUUCACGAGUAAUUCGGGUUCGAAUCGCGGCUGAUGCAGGCUGCUCGACUAAAUUCGAAAACGGAAAACGUGGUUUCGCUUCGUUUUGCAAUGUGCAAAAAAAUAUGGAGUGCGAGAUUGGAAAUUGCAAACUAGCCACGAGUUGAGGCAACAAAUGCGGACAAGUAUAUUUGGUAAUUAAUUGCCAAAUCGAUAAAAACGCCAUCCUUCCGCUCUGAACUGAUAUCGGAUAUCGUUCUCACUAAACGUAGGACCAUCUAAUAAUCUUCACUGUAGUACUCUUAUUU
This is a long non-coding RNA of Centruroides sculpturatus (bark scorpion), 998 nucleotides long. RefSeq lists it as uncharacterized. The transcript is spliced from 5 exons. Lineage: Eukaryota; Metazoa; Arthropoda; Arachnida; Scorpiones; Buthidae. The record is from RefSeq and is a predicted model, not a curated record.